AUCUAAAUAGCUUAAAUUUAAAGUUUAAUAUUGAAGAUAUUAAGAUAAGUGAAAUACUUUUUAGGUA
Molecule: transfer RNA, 67 nt
Filed under: Scantius aegyptius rossii
Lineage: Eukaryota; Metazoa; Arthropoda; Insecta; Hemiptera; Pyrrhocoridae
Description: tRNA-Phe
Source: RNAcentral